UACAGAGGGUGCGAGCGUUGUCCGGAAUCAUUGGGCGUAAAGGGCGCGUAGGUGGCCCGGUCAGUUCGUGGUGAAAGCGCGGGGCUCAACCCUGCGUCGGCCAUGAAUACUGCCGCGGCUGGAGCACUGUAGAGGCAGGCGGAAUUCCGGGUGUAGCGGUGGAAUGCGCAGAUAUCAGGAGGAACACCGAUGGCGAAGGCAGGUCUCUGGGCCACUACUGACGCUGAGAAGCGAAAGCAUGGGGAGCAAACAGG
This 254-nucleotide ribosomal RNA is filed under the name uncultured bacterium. RNAcentral describes it as "partial 16S ribosomal RNA". It matches the Rfam family "Bacterial small subunit ribosomal RNA", at positions 524 to 776 of the family's 1533-position model. The record is from RNAcentral.